AACGAACGCUGGCGGCAUGCCUAACACAUGCAAGUCGAACGAGACCUUCGGGUCUAGUGGCGCACGGGUGCGUAACGCGUGGGAAUCUGCCCUUGGGUUCGGAAUAACUUCGGGAAACUGAAGCUAAUACCGGAUGAUGACGUAAGUCCAAAGAUUUAUCGCCCAAGGAUGAGCCCGCGUAGGAUUAGCUAGUUGGUGAGGUAAAGGCUCACCAAGGCGACGAUCCUUAGCUGGUCUGAGAGGAUGAUCAGCCACACUGGGACUGAGACACGGCCCAGACUCCUACGGGAGGCAGCAGUGGGGAAUAUUGGACAAUGGGCGAAAGCCUGAUCCAGCAAUGCCGCGUGAGUGAUGAAGGCCUUAGGGUUGUAAAGCUCUUUUACCCGGGAUGAUAAUGACAGUACCGGGAGAAUAAGCUCCGGCUAACUCCGUGCCAGCAGCCGCGGUAAA
RNAcentral lists this ribosomal RNA (450 nucleotides) under uncultured bacterium. RNAcentral's name for it is "bacterial SSU rRNA". It matches the Rfam family "Bacterial small subunit ribosomal RNA", at positions 29 to 524 of the family's 1533-position model. The record is from RNAcentral.